RNAcentral lists this ribosomal RNA (426 nucleotides) under Melospiza melodia (song sparrow). RNAcentral's name for it is "partial 16S ribosomal RNA". It matches the Rfam family "Bacterial large subunit ribosomal RNA", at positions 1935 to 2525 of the family's 2925-position model. The record is from RNAcentral. Lineage: Eukaryota; Metazoa; Chordata; Aves; Passeriformes; Passerellidae.
GGUAUCCUAACCGUGCAAGGUAGCGCAAUCAAUUGUCCCGUAAAUCGAGACUAGUAUGAAUGGCUAAACGAGGUCUUAACUGUCUCUUACAGGCAAUCGGUGAAAUUGAUCUCCCUGUACAAAAGCAGGGAUAAACCCAUAAGACGAGAAGACCCUGUGGAACUUCAAAACCAACGACCACCUUAAAACACAUACCCACCUACUAGGUUCACUGACACACAAGAUUCUGGUCCACGUUUUUCGGUUGGGGCGACCUUGGAGCAAAACAAAACCUCCAAAAAUUAGACCAUACCUCUAGACUAAGAGCAACCCCUCGACGUGCUAAUAGCACCCAGACCCAAUAUAAUUGAUCAAUGGACCAAGCUACCCCAGGGAUAACAGCGCAAUCUCCCCCGAGAGUCCGUAUCGACGGGGAGGUUUACGACC